GCCCGCGUUCAGCGGUGGAACAGCUCACUCGUAAUGAGCAGGUCAGCGGUUCGAGUCCGCUCGUCGGCU
This 69-nucleotide transfer RNA is filed under the name Chloroflexota bacterium. RNAcentral's name for it is "tRNA-Thr". It matches the Rfam family "tRNA". Rfam says of the family: Transfer RNA (tRNA) molecules are approximately 80 nucleotides in length. The record is from RNAcentral. Lineage: Bacteria; Bacillati; Chloroflexota.